Molecule: ribosomal RNA, 468 nt
Filed under: uncultured bacterium
Lineage: Bacteria
Description: partial 16S ribosomal RNA
Rfam family: Bacterial small subunit ribosomal RNA
Source: RNAcentral
GACGAACGCUGGCGGCGUGCUUAACACAUGCAAGUCGAACGGAAAGGCCCUGCUUUUGUGGGUUGCUCGAGGGGCAAACGGGUGAGUAACACGUGAUUAACCUGCCCUUGACUUUGGGAUAACUUCAGGAAACUGGGGCUAUUACCGGAUAGGAGCUCCUGCGGCAGGGUGGGGGUUGGAAGGUUUCGGCGGUUGGGGAUGGACUCGCGGCUUAUCAGCUUGUUGGUGGGGUAGUGGCUUACCAAGGCUUUGACGGGUAGCCGGCCUGAGAGGGUGACCGGCCACAUUGGGACUGAGAUACGGCCCAGACUCCUACGGGAGGCAGCAGUGGGGAAUAUUGCACAAUGGGCGGAAGCCUGAUGCAGCAACGCCGCGUGCGGGAUGACGGCCUUCGGGUUGUAAACCGCUUUCGCCUGUGACGAAGCGUGAGUGACGGUAAUGGGUAAAGAAGCACCGGCUAACUACGUG